GGGGAAGGGCAUCAGGCUUGAGGCUGGCUUCGCUCUGGAUCUGAGCACGAAGAGGAGAAACGGCCGGCGCUGGACGCACCGCAUUCCGCAUGGCGGAAACCUUCCCUUUGCCGAUCACGUAGACGGUGCAGAAAUCAGUGGAGAUGUAAGAGACCUGACGAAUCCACCCUUCGAUGAGGCACCGACCACCAACUUCUCUAUGGCAGCAUGGGAAACAAAUUCGAUUAUGGCCUUGGCUGCAUCGACAUCUUCCAGCAGCACAUCCUUGCAGCGCACCUGUUGACACCAUCUUGUCUAAAAUUACAGAGAUUCGCAGACAACAGCGACUCCGACACAAAAAAGUCUGGCACUCACGUCUUUACGUGUGCAGAAGCAGCGAAACGGAAGAAACAACUCCUUCGAUUGAUGGUCCGUCGGCUCUUUGAAGCCACCAUCAUCAUCUAGGUUGGCAGCUGUAACGCAUGAAGCAGUGACAGGAUGAGGAGAACAUACAUGGAAGCCCAAAGUGGAGCACAGCCAUGGCGGAAGAAGGAAGGAAAUAAGGAGGGGGUAAAGAGAUGGUAGCUCACAUGGUUGGCUGGUGAGCUUGACAUGGAUGAGGGUGAGGGUCUGGCCCCUGGCGAGAAGGUUGUCCACUGCCCAUUUCAGAGCGUUCUGGCUUCCUUUGUCCUUGUCAAUGGCCACCGCCACCAGUGGACAUCCUGCAUCCACUUCCAUCUGCUCCGGGUUCCUGCGACAGUACAUUAUGCUCGCCUUGUCUUCCUCUUCUCCGUCUCGAAGUUCUUGGCCUCUGUUUGAUCCAACCUUCGAGAGGAAGAAGAGCAAAUAGUAGGCAAUCUUGCUCUCAGGUACCAAUGAUAGUAUACCACUUUUAA
Musa acuminata AAA Group (dessert banana) is the source of this 875-nucleotide long non-coding RNA. RefSeq lists it as uncharacterized. The transcript has 2 exons. The record is from RefSeq and is a predicted model, not a curated record. NCBI's taxonomy places the organism in Eukaryota, Viridiplantae, Streptophyta, Magnoliopsida, Zingiberales, Musaceae.